Molecule: ribosomal RNA, 254 nt
Filed under: uncultured bacterium
Lineage: Bacteria
Description: partial 16S ribosomal RNA
Rfam family: Bacterial small subunit ribosomal RNA
Source: RNAcentral
UACGUAGGGACCGAGCGUUGUCCGGAUUCAUUGGGCGUAAAGAGCUCGUAGGCGGUUCGGUAAGUCGGAUGUGAAAUCUCCACGCUCAACGUGGAGGGGCCAUUCGAUACUGCCGUGACUCGAGUCCGGUAGGGGAGUGUGGAAUUCCCGGUGUAGCGGUGAAAUGCGCAGAGAUCGGGAGGAACACCCGUAGCGAAGGCGGCACUCUGGGCCGGUACUGACGCUGAGGAGCGAAAGCGUGGGGAGCGAACAGG